Molecule: RNA transcript, 4524 nt
Organism: Haplochromis burtoni (Burton's mouthbrooder)
Lineage: Eukaryota; Metazoa; Chordata; Actinopteri; Cichliformes; Cichlidae
Gene name: MLX interacting protein
Exons: 16
Source: RefSeq, a predicted model, not a curated record
UGCUCUGGGCAGAGGGUCCAGUGAGCAGCUUCUCGUCAGCUGGUGGUUGAGACUCGUAGCUACGUCAACUCAAGACAACAAGUUAAGUUGGGAGUUUAAUGACCGACAGCGAGCUUAGCGAUGAGUGAACCGAGGGCCUCGACUCCGCGGCGUGAAGCUGGUGAAGUUUAACGGUCGGCGUGUUCUCCGGAGAGACUCAUGAAAGGGAGAGUUUUAUUGUUCUAGCUUGCUGGCUAACUUUAGCCAUUUGUCUGGUGAGUUAUCGACAUGGCUAUGAGCGAGGUGUCCCUGCGGCACAAAUACCGUUGCCCUUCCGCGAGCAUAAAGCAGGAGCAGGAUGACGACUCGGACACGGAGGAGACUCACCUAGGGCUGAGGAAGGCAGAAGGACUGGAGUCUCAGAUCAUCCAUAGCGGACACUUCAUGGUGUCCUCGCCCCACACCGAGCAUCCGCCGAAGAAAGGCUACGACUUCGACACUGUCAACAAACAAACGUGUCAGACCUAUCAUUUUGGAAAAGCGAGCUCGUCGCACUUCUCCAUAGACGCCUCACUGACGAAGCUCUUUGAGUGCAUGACUCUGGCGUAUAGUGGUAAGUUGGUGUCUCCAAAGUGGAAGAACUUCAAAGGGCUAAAACUGCUUUGGAGAGACAAGAUUCGCCUGAACAACGCUAUAUGGCGAGCCUGGUACAUCCAAUAUGUGGAGAAAAGAUCGAAUCCUGUUUGUCACUUUGUGACACCACUUGAUGGAAGUAUGGACCUGGACAUCCCUCGUCCUGAGGCCAUCGCUGCAGAGGGGAAAUGCUGGAAAAGAAGAAUUGAAAUUGUCAUAAGAGAAUACCACAAAUGGAGAACAUACUUUAAGAAAAGGCUACAGAAACACAAGGAUGACGACCUCUCGAGCUUACUUAAGGGGCCGGAGGAGCAGUUAUCCCUGUUUGGGGAAGUCUCUCCAGACAUGCUCCGUGUCUCCUUUUAUCAGGAUGAAGAGGCCGCUGCACGCUGUGUGACUCGUCGUAUGAUUACUGAAGCGCCUGCCCCCAUGGAGAUGGACAACCUUUUCGAUAUGGACGUUUUGAUGUCUGAGUUUACAGACACAUUGUUCUCUACGCUGGCCUCACACCAGCCCAUACCCUUCCCUAAUCCGAGGGAGAUUGCUCAUGCAGGGAAUGCUGACAUGAUCCAACCAGGACUCAUCCCGUUACAGCCUAACUUGGACUUCAUGGACUCAUUUGAUCCACUGCAAGACUUAUUUCACAGCCUCCGUCAGCCCGCCUUCCCCUCUGUUUCCCCCACUGCAUCAUCUGUCACCCCUCUACCCAGCAGCAGCUCUCAGUCACAGGCCCAGUUAAUGUCCUCCAUGCAGCUGACAACCAACCCCAUCUCCCCGUCUAGCCCCAUGUCUGUCCCCUCUCCCAUGGCCAGUCAGUCAGGCGGUAGUAGCGAUGGUGUCUAUGCGCACAACUACAUGUCCUUGUUCCCUGGGCAGGUGGCGCCCAGUGGUCAGGUUCCCUCUGUCGCUCAGCCGUUAUCACAUGAUCCUCUGGUACAGUGCCUUCCAGGUCAGGACAUGGCCUCAGCAGCACCCAUGGUUACCUCACCCUUGAACAACACCUCAGUCUUGGAUGAGACUGUAGCGGCAUCUGUGAUUACGCACACAGCCUCCUCUACUGUCACGCCGAGUGACUCUGCCACCACCUUCAGCCACAGCUCGGAUUAUAGCACCUUAUCUGCACAAGCGCCAGGUCACCCAUCCCAUCUCCAAACUGUGGCUCCUCUGGCCGCCACUUCUGUACAGCAAACUCAGACUUUUGCUCUGCCUCGACCUUUACAGCCACCCAGUGCCAACAAAAGUCGGCCCAUGCCAAGGAUCGCUCCUGCUAACACCCUUCCCUCGUCUCAGAUCAUCCUCACAGGCCCUUUCCCAGGUCAUGCCAAUGCUGUGAUUGUUACACCCACACCACUGAAAGCAGAUUUGGUCCCUAACACAGGUGUGGUCAUCACUUCUCCUGCUCUUGGACCGGCAUCUGGAUUUCAUGUCGUGCCUCAGCCUCAGAAGUCUCAGACAAUUGUUCCCAAAGAAAAAUCAUUUUCCUCUAGCCGCAAAAAUCAGAAGGGUUCCUGCAGUGUUGUUCCUAAUCAGCCACAAUCUGGACAAAGGUCGCCCUGCGGGUUAGAUCAGGUUCCUAGCCCACAGUCGUUACCCAGCCCACAGUCAUUAAUCAGCAGUACCAGUCCAGUUUUGGUGAAGAAUGAGCAACCUCAGAUCCGGAGGACCACACACAUAUCUGCUGAGCAAAAGAGGCGAUCAAACAUAAAUAUUGGCUUUAAGACACUCUGCAACCUGGUUCCUGCUCUAAAGUCCCAAUCAAAUAUCAGUAAUGCAGUGACGUUACAGAAGACAGUGGAGCACAUUAUGAAGCUCCAGCAGGAAAGGCAACAAAUGCAGGACGAAGUUAAGAGACUACGAGAGGAGAUUGAGGAGCUCAACACCUCCAUUAGCUUGUGUCAGGAGCAGCUUCCUGUGACGGGCGUACCGAUGAGACGACAUCGCCUCGACCACAUGCAAGAGAAGUUUAAUGAAUAUGUGAAGAACCGCACACUUCAGAACUGGAAGUUCUGGAUUGUAUCCUUCUACAAGCUAGCUGAUGUAACAGUUUUUAUUUUUUGAGGGAGGCUUUUGUGUCUCCCACUUGAAACUAGAAAGAGAGGCACCUCACUGAGAUCUGAAUGAUAAGUUGCAGGAAAUACACAGCAGAGGCAGAAGCAGCCUUCCGACAGGAGAAGUUACGCUUGCCUCAUCCUGGACUGUGGUGCUGACACUCACCAGUCCCCAGCCUCCUUCCUUCUGCUUGGCAUACAGCCUCAGGAUGCUGGACAUGAGGUGAAACCCUGCAUGCAUGCAUGGUAAGGAGCUUCCUUUUCUUGAUAUCAGUGGCUUCUAUCUCCUCCUCUGGCCAGCUUAUUAUCCCAGCAGGGUCUGAUCACAGGCAGGGCAUAGGUGUUAUUACCCCCUCAGUUCUUACUACCUUCCCUCUCUAUGUUAUCAUCAAACUACUUUUCUCCAGGCCGGACAACAUUCCGAUGUCACUGCUGUAUAUCCUGGUGGUGUGGAUCAGUGAAUUGAUGUCUUGUUCACUCUCGGCAUACAGCUUGAUGUCAUCCAUACAGGAGGUGGCUGAAAACUGCUCCAUUCCACAGUCAGUAUUUGUAGCCUGUAGGUUUGGGCGAUAUAUAAAAAUUUUCCAGCCGACAAUUGUCAGUCCAAUAAUCGAUGAUGGGCGAUAUAUUCGCGCAUGCACAUAUCCUCCGUGUAAUCAUGCACAGACUGAUUUCAUGUUUAUAAUACAGAAGAAGUCCAAACAUGGAUGAACUAAUUUCCCCAGAAAAAUUGGGGCUGUCAGCGUUGGCGCAGCAUUUAUGCGGUCAUCACAAUUAACAUGAUUAAAAUUUUUAACGCGCUAAACCCAUCUCCAUCAACAAGCAUUUGGGCGCACUCUGAGGAGGGUGCAUUUGCUCACGAAUAAAAGAGGGUGCUGUUAAAACAGCGCUAUUAUUUAUUUAUUUUUUUUUUGUUGACUGCUUCUAUUAGCUCCAUCAUCAUUAGCAAACUUGCUCAUGGGCAAAUAAAUGAAUAAAUCGCCCUUGUGAAAACGAUCACCGAUAGUUGAUUUAUUCGUCCAAUCACCCAACCCUAGUAGCCAGUCUUGUCAAUGAUCUCACUGAGGGGGUUCAGGCCGAUGCAGAUGCAUCCCCAUUGAGUUCCUGAUGAAGGCUCUUAGGGUCCUGUUGAUCUUGUAUAGUUCUAGGCAUUCCAGGAUCCAAGUGUGGGACAUUGAGUCAUCGGCCUUCUUGUAAUCUAUUCUUCUAGUCUUCUCUUAAAUUCAUUAGCCAAUGAGCUUUGCUACCCAUAUGCUCUUCCAGUAUUGUUCCGUCUCCAGCCUUGGUGGUGCUGCUCUCAUAUUGUUCCCUUGCCACUGAAAGUACACCUUGGCUGGUUCUGUGGAGAACAGCUGCUUUAUUCUUUGCCUUCUAUCUCUCUGGUUUACCUCUUCAAGCAGCUGACCAAAGUUGUGAGUCUUUUCUUGGCAGUUUCCAAAGUGUUAGGUAUGGACAGCUCGCUGUACUUCUUAAGUACCUCCCUGCAGUUCUGAUAGUUGGCUAACCACUCUCCUUCUCCAAUGGAGGGUACUGCUCCUUGUGGAUGUUCAACUUGUAGCCAAGCAUCUCAUUGAUCACUGCUGCUGUAGUGUAGAUCAGCUUGUUUGUCUCAGUAUAUAUCUUAACCCUGUAUUAUGUAUAUAUAUAUAUGUGCGUGAGAGAGAACCUAGCAUCCUAGUAGGGAAACCUUCAGGUAUUUAUUUACCUUUGCUCUCCAGGUCAAUAAUGUAGUAGGGUUGAUAAUAAGACUUCGACUGUAUCAAAACCACACACUGCAUUUUUAAUACCUCUUGGCCUUUUACAUUUAAAGCCUAUUUUGAUAAGUUGUGUAAUCAGAUUUAAAGUUCCUCCUUGACUGUCAUAC